RNAcentral lists this ribosomal RNA (353 nucleotides) under uncultured bacterium. RNAcentral describes it as "partial 16S ribosomal RNA". It matches the Rfam family "Bacterial small subunit ribosomal RNA", at positions 338 to 688 of the family's 1533-position model. The record is from RNAcentral.
CCUACGGGUGGCAGCAGUGAGGAAUAUUGGUCAAUGGACGCAAGUCUGAACCAGCCAUGCCGCGUGCAGGAAGACGGCACAAUGUGUUGUAAACUGCUUUUGUACGAGGGUAAACGCAGAUACGCGUAUCUGUCUGAAAGUAUCGUACGAAUAAGGAUCGGCUAACUCCGUGCCAGCAGCCGCGGUAAUACGGAGGAUUCAAGCGUUAUCCGGAUUUAUUGGGUUUAAAGGGUGCGUAGGCGGUCGGAUAAGUUAGAGGUGAAAUCCCGAGGCUCAACUUCGGAAUUGCCUCUGAUACUGGGCGGCGAGAGAGUAGUUGAGGUAGGCGGAAUGGAUGGGGGAGCGGUGAAAUG